Molecule: ribosomal RNA, 598 nt
Filed under: uncultured bacterium
Lineage: Bacteria
Description: bacterial SSU rRNA
Rfam family: Bacterial small subunit ribosomal RNA
Source: RNAcentral
GGUGAGGUAAUGGCUCACCAAGGCGACGAUCGGUAGCCGAACUGAGAGGUUGAUCGGCCGCAUUGGGACUGAGACACGGCCCAGACUCCUACGGGAGGCAGCAGUGGGGGAUAUUGCACAAUGGAGGAAACUCUGAUGCAGCAACGCCGCGUGAGGGAAGAAGGUCUUCGGAUUGUAAACCUUAGUAGUCAGGGAAGAAAGAAAUGACGGUACCUGAAAAGUAAGCUCCGGCUAACUACGUGCCAGCAGCCGCGGUAAUACGUAGGGAGCAAGCGUUGUCCGGAUUUACUGGGUGUAAAGGGUGCGUAGGCGGGACUGCAAGUCAGGCGUGAAAUACCGAGGCUUAACCUCGGGGCUGCGUUUGAAACUGUAGUUCUUGAGUGAAGUAGAGGCAGGCGGAAUUCCUAGUGUAGCGGUGAAAUGCGUAGAUAUUAGGAGGAACACCAGUGGCGAAGGCGGCCUGCUGGGCUUUAACUGACGCUGAGGCACGAAAGCAUGGGGAGCAAACAGGAUUAGAUACCCUGGUAGUCCAUGCCGUAAACGAUGAUAGCUAGGUGUGGGGGGACUGACCCCUUCCGUGCCGGAGUAAACACAAUAA